AUUGAACGCUGGCGGCAGGCCUAACACAUGCAAGUCGAGCGGAUGACGGGAGCUUGCUCCUUGAUUCAGCGGCGGACGGGUGAGUAAUGCCUAGGAAUCUGCCUGGUAGUGGGGAACAACGUUUCGAAAGGAACGCUAAUACCGCAUACGUCCUACGGGAGAAAGCAGGGGACCUUCGGGCCUUGCGCUAUCAGAUGAGCCUAGGUCGGAUUAGCUAGUUGGUGGGGUAAUGGCUCACCAAGGCGACGAUCCGUAACUGGUCUGAGAGGAUGAGCAGUCACACUAGAACUGAGACACGGUCCAUAGUCUUACGGGAGGCAGCAGUGGCAAAUAUUGGACAAUGGGCGAAAGCCUGAUCCAGCCAUGCCGCGUGUGUGAAGAAGGUCUUCGGAUUGUAAAGCACUUUAAGUUGGGAGGAAGGGCAGUAAGUUAAUACCUUGCUGUUUUGACGUUACCGACAGAAUAAGCACCGGCUAACUCUGUGCCAGCCGCCGCAGUAA
RNAcentral lists this ribosomal RNA (500 nucleotides) under uncultured bacterium. RNAcentral's name for it is "partial 16S ribosomal RNA". It matches the Rfam family "Bacterial small subunit ribosomal RNA", at positions 30 to 523 of the family's 1533-position model. The record is from RNAcentral.